CAUGCAAGUCGAACGAUGAAGCUGGAGCUUGCUCUGGUGGAUUAGUGGCGAACGGGUGAGUAACACGUGAGCAACCUGCCCCUGACUCUGGGAUAACAGCCGGAAACGGCUGCUAAUACCGGAUAUGCACCAUGAACGCAUGUUCUGUGGUGGGAAAGAUUUUUCGGUUGGGGAUGGGCUCGCGGCCUAUCAGCUUGUUGGUGAGGUAAUGGCUCACCAAGGCGUCGACGGGUAGCCGGCCUGAGAGGGUGACCGGCCACACUGGGACUGAGACACGGCCCAGACUCCUACGGGAGGCAGCAGUGGGGAAUAUUGCACAAUGGGCGAAAGCCUGAUGCAGCAACGCCGCGUGAGGGAUGACGGCCUUCGGGUUGUAAACCUCUUUUAGCAGGGAAGAAGCGAGAGUGACGGUACCUGCAGAAAAAGCGCCGGCUAACUACGUGCCAGCAGCCGCGGUAAUACGUAGGGCGCAAGCGUUAUCCGGAAUUAUUGGGCGUAAAGAGCUCGUAGGCGGUUUGUCGCGUCUGCUGUGAAAACUGGAGGCUCAACCUCCAGCCUGCAGUGGGUACGGGCAGACUAGAGUGCGGUAGGGGAGAUUGGAAUUCCUGGUGUAGCGGUGGAAUGCGCAGAUAUCAGGAGGAACACCGAUGGCGAAGGCAGAUCUCUGGGCCGUAACUGACGCUGAGGAGCGAAAGGGUGGGGAGCAAACAGGCUUAGAUACCCUGGUAGUCCACCCCGUAAACGUUGGGAACUAGUUGUGGGGACCUUUCCACGGUUUCCGUGACGCAGCUAACGCAUUAAGUUCCCGCCUGGGGAGUACGGCCGCAAGGCUAAAACUCAAAGGAAUUGACGGGGACCCGCACAAG
This 866-nucleotide ribosomal RNA is filed under the name Microbacterium sp. VTT E-073040. RNAcentral's name for it is "bacterial SSU rRNA". It matches the Rfam family "Bacterial small subunit ribosomal RNA", at positions 54 to 929 of the family's 1533-position model. The record is from RNAcentral. Lineage: Bacteria; Bacillati; Actinomycetota; Actinomycetes; Micrococcales; Microbacteriaceae.